GCCGCCCGGCAUCAGUUUGAAUUCAGAGCGGUACCAGUGCGAUUCAUUGAACGAAGUAUAACUGUUAUAUACUGUGCUGUGCGACUCAGUGAAAUACACAUACUUAACGAUUAUUUAAUUCACCAGUGACUUUUUAAAUUCAAAUACAAAGUGAUUUAAAUUGUAAUCGUUUUAUUCUUAUAAUUUAUUUUCGUAUUAAUUGUGCGUGUGACCAAAGUUGACAACUUUAUUGCGGAAAUGGUUGGAAGAACAGCGAUCGGCAUCGACCUGGGUACCACCUAUUCUUGUGUGGGUAUCUGGCAACACGGAAAAGUAGAGGUCAUCGCCAACGAUCAAGGAAACAGGACCACCCCGAGUUAUGUGGCGUUUACCGACACCGAACGGUUGAUCGGCGACGCGGCCAAGAACCAGGUGGCAAUGAACCCCGUCAAUACGGUGUUCGACGCCAAACGGUUGAUCGGUCGUCGAUUUGACGACGACAAAACGCAAGCGGACAUCAAACACUGGCCGUUCAAAGUGGUCGACGAUUUCGGUAAGCCCAAGAUCCAAGUGGAUUUCAAGGAUGAACGGAAUGUAUUCGCGCCGGAAGAGAUCAGUUCAAUGGUGCUGACGAAAAUGACGGAGACCGAUAACAACCUGUUGGCACAUUCGACUUGACCGGCAUACUCCGGCGCCCAGAGGUACACUAAGAUCGAGGUGACUUUCGAUAUGGACGCCAACGGUAUCUUGAACGUGUCGGCCCAAGGACAACAGCUCUGGCCGCUCCAAGAACAUCGUCAUCAAGAACGACAAGGGCCGCCUGUCUCAGGCCGAAAUCGAUCGUAUGCUUAGCGAGGCCGAACGAUACAAGGAAGAGGACGAGCGACAAAAAGUUAAGAUCGCGGCCAAGAAUCAGUUGGAGAGCUACGUGUAUGGUGUCAAACAAGCGUUGGACGAAGCCGGCGACAAGCUGACCGAGUCCGAAAAGAACACAGGGAAACGGGAAUGCGACGCGGUCAUUCAGUGGUUGGACAACAAUCAGUUGGCAGACAAAGAAGAGUACGAGUACAAACUAAAGGAAAUCCAAAAGAGCUGCUCGGCUCUAAUGAUGAAGAUACACGGUGCAGGACAACCCGGUAAUGCGUCUCACCCCGGUGCUCAUGGUUUCCCUGGGCCCGGCUCCGGAGGACCAACCGUCGAAGAAGUCGAUUGAUUCAUUUGACAAUGUAAUUUGAUUAUAUAUAUUGUAAUUUUAGGUACUAUUGUAAACUGCUUCCUACAUUCUGAUUGUAAAUAGUAUUAUAUAGGUAGAUUUAAUUUGAGACUGAUUUUUCUUUUGUUAUAUUAUACCUACAUUUUUGCAAAAUAAAUAUUAUUUAUUACCUGU
RNA transcript from Acyrthosiphon pisum (pea aphid), 1366 nucleotides. It is a transcript of the gene named heat shock protein 70 A1-like, with no coding region annotated. The transcript has 2 exons. The record is from RefSeq and is a predicted model, not a curated record. NCBI's taxonomy places the organism in Eukaryota, Metazoa, Arthropoda, Insecta, Hemiptera, Aphididae.